GAAUUAUUUCUAGGUACUCGAGGAGAAGACGUUUCGUUACGAGAAUUUCAGCUAAUUUCGAGGGAUUCCAAGAAUUUAAAAAUAUUAGAAGGGUUACCAAUAGAAGUUUUAGAAAAAGUUAUAACCGUGCUAAUUUUAUGUGAUCAGGCAAAGAAGCUAGAAGAUCAUUAUUUAUUAACUAAUACAAGAAGGUUCCUCAUUAUUUAAUUCGUCUUUUUAAGUUCCGUGAUAUUAACAAAGGAAUUUAUUGGUUUACUCAACAAAGUAUAUGUAAUAUCAGUUCAUAUGGAAUAAUAAAAGUAUUUAAGACUAAUGUGAUAAGAUUUUAACAUUUCGAAGGAUAAAGUGAAGUUACUAUAUACAGUAAAAUUUCAGAGCAGUGUUUUAGUAGCAACAAUUUCUGACAUAUUUGAUAACAAUGAUAUAUUGUUCAUUAUUGAACACGUUGGAAGCUGUAGUAACCGAAUGUUCUGGUCAUCCCAUCAGAAGUGAAAAACAAGAUCUUGUGUAAAGUUAUUCUAAUGUAAUAAUUUAUUUAAAUUCUUAACUUUAAUUAUUUGAAUAUAUUGCAAGUUUUACUGCAUUGGCAGAGGUUCCAAAUGUUUGAAUAUUUUAAUAUUCUGAAUUAAAUAAAAUCUUUCUGUGACUACUGCUUAUAAAAAAUGAUUUAGUGUUUUAAAUUAUUUGAUAAUGAUUAAGACAAGUUAUCAAAAUUAACAAACAUUUUAAAAUGUUAAUUUUUAGUUUGCUUAUUUAUUAAAAAAAAAUGAAAGUCUUUGUCUACCAAAAAUAUGUUUAGUAUUAUUAUAUAAUUUACACUAGCUAAUUUAUGUUCUCUGAAUUUUUGUAAGUGCUUUUCUGAACAUUUUAUUUAAAAAACUGGUAUUAUUAUGGGGCCUAAAAAGAGUGGCAUGUCAAGAACUGUGUUCACUAUAGAAACUUAAUCAAGAGAUAUGCCAACUCUCUACCUUGGCUAUUAUAUGUCGUCUGAUAUUUUAGGCAGAUGACUUCAACGGGUCUACAGUAGAUAAAUCUUAGCUAAGGAAGAUAUAAUCAAAAAGACUUGAGCUGAUAAAGAAGUAAUGAAAAUCGCAUCUGAGAAACAAAGAUGUGUCAUCCAUGAAAAAAUAGAGAAAUUGCUUUUAGUUUGUUAUUACAUGUAAAUAAACAUAGUAAGAAAGUAUAUAAUUUUUUAUUUUUAUGGGUCUCCAGAACGAAUUAAUCAAAUAAAAAAAAAGUUAAAUUUAAAAACUCACGCCAAGUUUUGCAUAGUUUCUGGAUACAAAUUCACUGAAUUAAUCAAAUUCCUACAAAAAUCUAUGGUAAAUUGAUAAUCGGUUAACAAACAAUUUGGAUAGCAAAUGUAGUCUUGGAACGGAUUAUGUUCAUUAACAGAUCACCCACUAUAAAAUGUAAUUUAAUAUUUUAACAAAAACACAGAUGAAAAAAGUAAUUAAAUUUGUUUUUCUGAGUUCUAUAUAAGUUUUGUGAGUAUUAUUAUUAAAAAUUUAUUUCUUGAAAUAAAAAUUCUGCAAAGAAUUAUUUUAGGAAUUAGAAAAAACUUAAAAUUCAAAUUUUCUUGACAGAAAAGUAAGAAAAACAGUAUUUACAAGCAAAUUUUUCUGUAAUGUUAAUUUAGUAAAUAAAUUUAUUAAUGAGAAACAUUCAAAAUUUGAAAGUUAAAUGAUCAAUAACUUUCUUAUCUCUCUAGAAGUUUAUCCAAACUAGAAACAAAUAUUUAGCAACAUGAUAUAAUAUACAAGGUGCGUUCCAUAAGUAAUGCAACCAAAUUCAUAAAAAAUCAUGUAUUGAACAUAUUCUUACAAGUAGUCAAAAAUCUUCAAAAUAGCACCCUCCUGCAUCGAUACACUUGUGAAGGCAGUGUUUCCAGGUCUGAAAGACCUUCUCCGGAAUGUCCUUUAGAGCUGAUGUAACAUAAGCCUUGAUGUUUUCAAUCAUGUCCCAAUGUUUCCCUUUCAUGGCCCCUUUUAAGCAACGAAACAAAAAGUCGGCGGGAGCCAGGUCAGGACUGUAAGUUGGCUGUGGAACCAAUGGGGUGUGGAUCAUGGCCAGGAAAUCGUUGACAAUGAAGGCAUUCUGGCUUGGUGUGUUGUCAUGAUGAAGUUUCCAUGUGUUCUUGAUGUCACUUCGGCAGCACACGACCCUCCUUUUCAGUCAUUUGAGCACUUCCAAGUAGAAAGCUGCAUUUACAGUGGUCUGGCAGGUACGAAUUUGUGAUGGAUAAUGCCUCUGACGUGAAAAAAGUCAAUGAGCAUGGUUUUGAUCCUGGACUUGCUUAUGCAUGCCUUCUUGGGGUGGGGUGACUUGUGCCAUUGGAAAACUUGUGAUUUGGACAAGCAAUCACUCCCAAAGGCUUACUGAAUUAAUGUAAAGGUUUCGGUGGCAGACUUCCCAAGUUUAACACAAAGUUUGAUAGUGUAACAUGCUCCACAAAAUGAUCCAUUGCGCAGUGUUACAUUAACUCAAAACAGGGUUCACAGGAACGAACGUCCUCACCCACCAGCAGCUUGGAAGCAAAUGAGACCAAGUGAGUUUUGAAGCUAACAUCCCAUGCCACCUAGCGCAGCAGGUUAGAACUAGAUACGGCAUAUCAUUGCAUCAUGAAAAAAUUGGUCACAUUACUUAUGGAACGCACCUUGUAUUUAUUUCAUAAGUAGUCGGGAAAUAAGUUUUCAUGUGUGUUAUAAAUUAAUUUUUUUUUCCUGGAGUACUUUGCAGUAGUGAUAUAUUUCAAAAUUUUAUUGUGAUAGUUGAAAUAUGUGCAAAAAUAAAUUCUUUUUAAAAAUAGAAAAUAUCACAAAAUAUUUUUCAAUUAGUAAUAGUUUUGUAAUCAUUUAGUGAGUGAUGUUCAACAAUAUUGUUUGCAACUACAAUACAGUUUGUUAAACCUGAAUAUCUGGUCAUCUGGCACCCUCUGAAUAGUAGUGGAUAAUCUGAAUUUUCCAAUAAUUCAACAUGCUAGUAUUUCACAAAUUGGCAAUUGUUUGGUUACAUGUUAGAGAUCCUGGGCAGAAAUUGAGGUAAAGGUUGGGGUAUGACUGAGCACAUUGCUAUGUGUUGGGAGGUUGUUGUCUCAAGAAUAAUUAGAACCUCAAACUCUUAUGAAAUGUAAUUUGGUAAACUAUACAUAGUCUACAUUGUAAUGUGCUGAAUUUAACAUUUCUUCAUUGGAGUUAGUGCACACAUUUUCAGAUUGGCGAUACAUCCAACUGACGUAUUUUCAUUCCCGUGGGCCAGUGCAAAGAUGGUGCACCUAAAACAAGUUUUUCAUACAUGAAUGUGUGUAGCUUUUGUGAAUUCUAUGUGUAUGACACGUCCCAAAAAUAUUACAGUACGUAUAUCUGAAUUGUAAAUGUUGACAAUAAAAUCUUCAUUAACAUUUCUGCAGGUUUUCCAAUCAAUCUUAACAUUUUAUGCUGCCAUAUGUUCUGGUAUAUGAUUUUAAUCUGGUACAGAAUGUACUGUACAUCAAUGUUUACAAUGUUCAGAUCACAUGUAACUUAUUAAACUUUGGAAAAAUAUGAAAAUGUCCAAUAAUCCUAUAUCAAAAUAAUUAGCACAACAGUGUAGCAGUGUUACAAACAUGAUUUAUUAGUGUAGUUAAGACAUACUUGCUAGUACUUUCUACAGCUUUUUAUGAUUAAUCCUGUAUCAUUUAUCUCAUAGGUACCAGAUUAUAAAUGUUUACUGUGAUUGCAGAAAUAAAAUAAUUUUCAGUAUUCUUAAAUUAAAAAUGUACAUUUUAUUUCAAUUGAAAGAUUUCAUACUUUGUGGUGACAUAAUUGACAUAUAUUUGUUGCCAAGAAUAUCAUUAAUACACUAAAUGAUUACAAUAUUUUGUAUUUCUAAUUUUGUACUAAACACUAAUCAUAUUAGUUCUGUAAAGUACAAUUUAUAUAUAUAAAUUCAAAUCAAUACAUUUUGAUAUAUUGGAAAAUGACAUUAGAGCUAUAAUAGAAGACUUACGGCAUUAACUUUCAAUGUAGCAUGCAAGCAUCACAAUUGUAUUAUUUAUUAUUAUUAAUUUUUUUAUUCAAUUUUAUUUGAUGAUAAGAAUUACAUCAAAAAAUUCUUUUACUGUUUUGUUUAAUUGAUAAGUCUAUAUUUCAGUCAAAUACAAUAGUUAACUAUAAUGAAUGCAUCAAAAAGCAUUUACUAAGUAACUAGUUAGCAAUAAAAUUGAUUACUAAAUUAUUAAGUAUAUUUAUGAAACAACUGGUUGCAUUCUUGUCAUCAGAUCAAACUUGGAACAUCUGGGAGGAAGAACGAUGAUGUCUUGCUCAAGCAUGCUCUGAUCUUCCUGGAAGUAAAGAUUACUUUUCACUGAUGACAUGUAAUAAUGAAUGUAAAUUCAACAAAAAAUCAAUGUAAACUGAUAAAACUAUUAGGCUGUGUACACACUAGGCGUUUUAAAGAACCAAGAGUUCUAUAUAGGCGUACACACUCAAAUACGUGUUUAUAGAUUUUUGUUAAAACGCGCGUUUUGCAG
Centruroides sculpturatus (bark scorpion) is the source of this 4510-nucleotide RNA transcript. RefSeq lists it as uncharacterized. The transcript has 4 exons. Lineage: Eukaryota; Metazoa; Arthropoda; Arachnida; Scorpiones; Buthidae. The record is from RefSeq and is a predicted model, not a curated record.